RNAcentral lists this transfer RNA (78 nucleotides) under Deltaproteobacteria bacterium. RNAcentral's name for it is "tRNA-Asp". It matches the Rfam family "tRNA". From Rfam's summary of the family: Transfer RNA (tRNA) molecules are approximately 80 nucleotides in length. Their secondary structure includes four short double-helical elements and three loops (D, anti-codon, and T loops). RNAcentral also lists the same sequence under 3 other names. Lineage: Bacteria; Pseudomonadati; Myxococcota; Myxococcia. The record is from RNAcentral.
GGGGUCGUAGUUAAGCCUGGUUAUAACGCCGGCCUGUCACGCCGGAGGCCGCGGGUUCAAAUCCCGUCGACCCCGCCA